GAUCCUGGCUCAGAUUGAACGCUGGCGGCAGGCCUAACACAUGCAAGUCGAGCGGUAACAGAAAGUAGCUUGCUACUUUGCUGACGAGCGGCGGACGGGUGAGUAAUGCUUGGGAACAUGCCUUGAGGUGGGGGACAACAGUUGGAAACGACUGCUAAUACCGCAUAAUGUCUACGGACCAAAGGGGGCUUCGGCUCUCGCCUUUAGAUUGGCCCAAGUGGGAUUAGCUAGUUGGUGAGGUAAUGGCUCACCAAGGCGACGAUCCCUAGCUGGUUUGAGAGGAUGAUCAGCCACACUGGGACUGAGAC
RNAcentral lists this ribosomal RNA (308 nucleotides) under Pseudoalteromonas sp. RNAcentral describes it as "bacterial SSU rRNA". It matches the Rfam family "Bacterial small subunit ribosomal RNA", at positions 15 to 325 of the family's 1533-position model. The record is from RNAcentral. Lineage: Bacteria; Pseudomonadati; Pseudomonadota; Gammaproteobacteria; Alteromonadales; Pseudoalteromonadaceae.